UGAGUCAAUUCCAUUGUUUUUUAAGAAUUUAAAGUUAUGGGUGUGAUGAUCCUUUGUUAGGAACGUUUUGGCAAGACUGGAGACUGCUUAUCUGAGUCGGAAUCCCACUGCAAAAUCAUUUUGGAGCUUAUUCGAUCAGUUCAUGUUGAUACAAAUUUCUCUUGAUCGUAAUGCAUUUGGAACUUUUGGAAAACCUGCGGCUGGGAGCUGAUUGUUCUCGAUCAAGUCCAGUGCUGAACCCCCAAAUGGAUUGCAAGGAUCAAAGGAACGUUUUGGAAAACCUGGAGACUGCAAAUCUGAGACGAA
Molecule: long non-coding RNA, 306 nt
Organism: Cucumis sativus (cucumber)
Lineage: Eukaryota; Viridiplantae; Streptophyta; Magnoliopsida; Cucurbitales; Cucurbitaceae
Exons: 3
Source: RefSeq, a predicted model, not a curated record